UGGAUCAGCAGCAGGAGAUGCAGCAGUAGCAGCAGCUGCUUAGCAGCAGCUUAGUAGUGGCAGCAGCAGCAGCUGCAGCAAUCAGCAGCAGCAGCUGCAGCUAGUAGCAGCAGCAGGAAAGAAAAGAAAAGAAAGAAAGGAAGAAAAGAAAGAAUACGAAUGAAUGAGGAAAAGGGAGAAAUGGAAAGAAAAGAUCGAAACUAAGUUGAAUUGUAUAGAAAAAGGGUUAGAUGGAAAACUGACCCCGGUAAUGCACUUUUGCAGGAUUGAAGUCCUGACGUGAAAUUGACCGCGUACAAACCA
RNAcentral lists this long non-coding RNA (303 nucleotides) under Ananas comosus (pineapple). RNAcentral's name for it is "long non-coding RNA (ACOM_LNC005300)". The record is from RNAcentral. Lineage: Eukaryota; Viridiplantae; Streptophyta; Magnoliopsida; Poales; Bromeliaceae.